AAAGAUUAAGCCAUGCAUGUCUAAGUAUAAGCGCUUUAUACUGUGAAACUGCGAAUGGCUCAUUAUAUCAGUCAUAGUUUAUUUGAAAGUCCCUUACUACAUGGAUAACCGUAGUAAUUCUAGAGCUAAUACAUGCACGAAGGCCCAACUGCUUCUUUAGCGGACGGGCUGCAUUGAUUAGACCGAAACCAAUGCGUCCUCGGACGGUUUUGUGGUGAAUCAUAAUCA
This 228-nucleotide ribosomal RNA is filed under the name Bachelotia antillarum. RNAcentral's name for it is "partial small subunit ribosomal RNA". It matches the Rfam family "Eukaryotic small subunit ribosomal RNA", at positions 39 to 259 of the family's 1831-position model. Lineage: Eukaryota; Phaeophyceae. The record is from RNAcentral.